Molecule: ribosomal RNA, 423 nt
Filed under: uncultured bacterium
Lineage: Bacteria
Description: bacterial SSU rRNA
Rfam family: Bacterial small subunit ribosomal RNA
Source: RNAcentral
UAGGGAAUAUUGGUCAAUGGGUGAGAGCCUGAACCAGCCAUGCCGCGUGCAGGAAGACGGCCUUAUGGGUUGUAAACUGCUUUUGUCAGGGGAUAAAAUCACCUUGCGAGGUGAAUUGAAAGUACCUGUCGAAUAAGCCACGGCUAACUACGUGCCAGCAGCCGCGGUAAUACGUAGGUGGCAAGCGUUGUCCGGAUUUAUUGGGUUUAAAGGGUGCGUAGGCGGCCUUGUAAGUCAGUAGUGAAAUAUCUCAGCUUAACUGAGAGGGUGCUAUUGAUACUGCAGGGCUUGAGUACAGAUGAGGUAGGCGGAAUUGACGGUGUAGCGGUGAAAUGCAUAGAUAUCGUCAAGAACACCGAUAGCGAAGGCAGCUUACUAAGUUGUAACUGACGCUGAGGCACGAAAGUGUGGGGAUCAAACAGG